Molecule: transfer RNA, 62 nt
Filed under: Belyta sp. ZJUH_2016005
Lineage: Eukaryota; Metazoa; Arthropoda; Insecta; Hymenoptera; Diapriidae
Description: tRNA-Asn
Source: RNAcentral
UUAAUUGUAAUUUUUAAAAUAAUUAAUGUUAAUAAUUAUAAAAUACUAAGUAUUCAAUUAAU